ACUCCUACGGGAGGCAGCAGUAGGGAAUCUUCCACAAUGGGCGCAAGCCUGAUGGAGCAACACCGCGUGAGUGAAGAAGGGUUUCGGCUCGUAAAGCUCUGUUGUUAAAGAAGAACACGUAUGAGAGUAACUGUUCAUACGUUGACGGUAUUUAACCAGAAAGUCACGGCUAACUACGUGCCAGCAGCCGCGGUAAUACGUAGGUGGCAAGCGUUAUCCGGAUUUAUUGGGCGUAAGGAGAGUGCAGGCGGUUUUCUAAGUCUGAUGUGAAAGCCUUCGGCUUAACCGGAGAAGUGCAUCGGAAACUGGAUAACUUGAGUGCAGAAGAGGGUAGUGGAACUCCAUGUGUAGCGGUGGAAUGCGUAGAUAUAUGGAAGAACACCAGUGGCGAAGGCGGCUACCUGGUCUGCAACUGACGCUGAGACUCGAAAGCAUGGGUAGCGAACAGGAUUAGAUACCCUGGUAGGCUAGC
RNAcentral lists this ribosomal RNA (472 nucleotides) under uncultured bacterium. RNAcentral's name for it is "bacterial SSU rRNA". It matches the Rfam family "Bacterial small subunit ribosomal RNA", at positions 335 to 800 of the family's 1533-position model. The record is from RNAcentral.